This is a non-coding RNA of Castor canadensis (American beaver), 735 nucleotides long. NCBI's taxonomy places the organism in Eukaryota, Metazoa, Chordata, Mammalia, Rodentia, Castoridae. The record is from RefSeq and is a predicted model, not a curated record.
GGGAACCUUCUGCUGACCAAGUACAGCCUGAGGACAUUUACUCCUGCAAGCCAAUAGAAGGCCUAAAACAUCUCUUCUGGAGGGACCAAGAAGCUUCACCACAGGAAAUCCAAUCAAGGCCUUUAAGGCUCAAGUCUUGAUGCAAGAGGGUUCUGUUGCAUCUGUUCAUCUCUGCAAAUGGCUGAGAUCCCCAUGAGCAGACAUGAGCAUGCUGGGCAAAGAUUCAGAUGUCAGGAACCAUCUGGUGACCAAAUGAGUCCUGAGAGAAAGAGACAGACGUGCAAUUUCCGUGAUAGAUCAAACCCAAGUCCUGAGAAAUGCUACCCGAGCACUCUACCACUGAGCACACCCUCAUCCCUGCAAGGAAUCCCUGAUGUGACAGCUCCGUGCAGUGUGAUGGCAAAACUCACUGGACAAAGCUGCACAGACAACAUUCUGUUGGAAGGACUCCACUCUGACUGCAAAUCACUUGGACUCAGCUCUUCUGUGUUUUCAGGAUGGAAGACACUUACAGUAUGUACUUCUUGCUUAUUUUGGAAAAUAAAUCAAAUCAUUUACAUAUAAUUUGAUGGUUGACUAUACUUGUAGUCUGUUGAGAAAAAUUCAUAUUCUCUCCCUCAACUGCAGAAGGCGAAAGGUGUAGAGAACUGUUCAAAUUCAGAAGACACUUUAACUUCAGUAAUUAAAAAUGUAUUAGAGCAGAGCAUGGUAGUGCACAACUGUAAUCCCAACACA